RNAcentral lists this ribosomal RNA (252 nucleotides) under uncultured archaeon. RNAcentral describes it as "partial 16S ribosomal RNA". It matches the Rfam family "Archaeal small subunit ribosomal RNA", at positions 474 to 725 of the family's 1478-position model. The record is from RNAcentral.
CACCGGCAUCUCGAGUGGUAUCCACUUUUAUUGGGUCUAAAGCGUCCGUAGCUGGUUUAGUAAAUUCUUGGGUAAAUCGUACCGCUUAACGGUGCGGAUUCUGGGGACACUACUAGACUUGGGACCGGGGGGAGGUCAGAAGUACUUGUGGGGUAGCGGUGAAAUGUUGUAAUCCUACAGGGACUACCAGUGGCGAAGGCGUCUGACCAAAACGGCUCCGACAGUGAGGGACGAAACCCUGGGGCGCAAACG